CGGUGAUCUCAUUUGCAAAAACAACACAGAACCGCCUUUUUGCAACUGCAAAUGCAACUGGACAGGAGAGAUGUGUGACAAAAUGGAUGUCCAAAAGAUAAUGUGCAAUUGUUUCACUCUUGGGAAGCCCAUUGCCUAUGCGGACAGUAUGAAGUCUUGCCACGAUGCUCGACGACCUGCAAACUGGACUGAGUGCAUUUUAGACGGAAAACGAGAAGAUACGGCAAUGAACUGUAUCUGCGCUCCUUUAAAUACAACAGAUAUAAGAUUUCAUCUUGAUGAAAAGAAAGAUCUACAGAAUUGCAGUUUUUCACAGUCUUAAAAAGGUAUUAAAGAACUUGACGUAUAUCUUAAGCGCUUAUGAACUAUUUGAUAAGUCUUUAU
Long non-coding RNA from Mya arenaria, 384 nucleotides. RefSeq lists it as uncharacterized. The transcript has 3 exons. NCBI's taxonomy places the organism in Eukaryota, Metazoa, Mollusca, Bivalvia, Myida, Myidae. The record is from RefSeq and is a predicted model, not a curated record.